Molecule: ribosomal RNA, 497 nt
Filed under: uncultured bacterium
Lineage: Bacteria
Description: partial 16S ribosomal RNA
Rfam family: Bacterial small subunit ribosomal RNA
Source: RNAcentral
GAUGAACGCUGGCGGCGUGCCUAAUACAUGCAAGUCGAGCGAACAGACGAGGAGCUUGCUCCUCUGACGUUAGCGGCGGACGGGUGAGUAACACGUGGAUAACCUACCUAUAAGACUGGGAUAACUUCGGGAAACCGGAGCUAAUACCGGAUAAUAUAUUGAACCGCAUGGUUCAAUAGUGAAAGACGGUUUUGCUGUCACUUAUAGAUGGAUCCGCGCCGCAUUAGCUAGUUGGUAAGGUAACGGCUUACCAAGGCAACGAUGCGUAGCCGACCUGAGAGGGUGAUCGGCCACACUGGAACUGGACCACGGUCCAGACUCCUACGGGAGGCAGCAGUAGGGAAUCUUCCGCAAUGGGCGAAAGCCUGACGGAGCAACGCCGCGUGAGUGAUGAAGGUCUUCGGAUCGUAAAACUCUGUUAUUAGGGAAGAACAAAUGUGUAAGUAACUAUGCACGUCUUGACGGUACCUAAUCAGAAAGCCACGGCUAACUACGUG